Molecule: long non-coding RNA, 5210 nt
Organism: Diospyros lotus (date-plum)
Lineage: Eukaryota; Viridiplantae; Streptophyta; Magnoliopsida; Ericales; Ebenaceae
Exons: 2
Source: RefSeq, a predicted model, not a curated record
GCUAAUUUGUGCAUCCAAUUGGCUGGCUGGCUGCGUAUUGAAGAGGGAAGAACGAAGAAGACCCCCGGCGGCACAACCUCUGCCCCCACGCCGAAGCCUGUUGCUUCCUCCGCCUCUCGCCACUGGCUUCAUGGAAGAAGAUCGCCGCCUCUCCCGCUCAGCCCCUCUCCGCCGGCUUCAGAGAAGAAGAGAGCCGCUGCAUCUCUGAAGCUGCUCGCCGUCGCCCUCUCUGCCGGCUCUCACCGCUGCCCUUUAUGAAGCUUGCGGCUGCAGGGCCGUCGCCUACCACCGCCACCUACUGCUGCAUCCUCCCUCUCUGCCGCCUCUCGCCGCCGCCGCACAUCCCCUCCCUCUCUACCGCCGCCACACAGGUUUGAUUAUUAGGUUUUCUUAAACAAAAAUUCGAGCCUAUUUGUUGAUUUUCAUUGGAUCGGAAAUUUGAAGCUUCUAUGGACGGCUUGGCAAGAACACUGGACGGAUUCAUGUUGAUGUUUUCCAAACUGCCUCAGAAAUUGAACUGGUGAAAGAAAAUAUGGUUGAAAGAACAGUAGAGAAGAGGCAGGAGGUACAGGCUGCAUCUGACCAGCCUUACUUUCCAUUGCCGAAGUUGGAGAUUUCGAUGUUUGACUGUCGAAACCCUAGGUUGUGGGUUAGACGGUGUCAAAAGGUUUUUACCUUGUAUAAUAUACCGGAUCAGCAAGUAAUAAUUACUUCUGCUUAUUUGAACGAUGUGGCGGAUGCGUGGUUUCAAGGACGGAUCCGGUUACGAGAUAAUUGUCAAUGGAUUGACUUUGUGGAGGACUUUUGUGAACGAUUUGCUGACAGAAACAUGACCGAUGUGGAAGAAUUUAAUAAAUUUAGGCAGGAGAACUCUGUUCAACUUUUCAGAUGAAGUUUGAGGAGCUUAAGUCCUUGAUGCUAAACCUUAAUCCCUACCUAACUGAGGCAUAUUUCAUCUCAAGUUUCAUUAGUGGCUUGAGCGAAGAAUUGAGGCCUACAAUUAAAAUGCUACAUCCAAAAACUAUAAAACAGGAAGCUGACAAUGCUUGAUUACAGGAACCUACUGUAGAAGCCUUAAUGAAGAAGCGGAGAAUUCAUAUAAGAGGAACAAGUUCAAAUUCUUUGUUGAAUCGUGGAUUUAACAAAGUGGCAGCCAAGAACAAUAAGAAUUUCAAGAAUUUAACAGCUCAUCCAAAUGUUAUUUCAAAUCAGCGGAUAGGAGGAAUGUUUGGCAACGUGGAGCAAUGUAGGCAAGUUGGUUUAUGUUAUAAAUGUGGAGAAAAAUACAUGCUGGGACAUUAGUGUAAGAUGUAGUUCUUACUGUUGGAAGGAGAAGAGGAAACAAAAGAAGUGGAGGAAUUGCCAGCAGUUGAAACUGAAAUUGAAGAAGCGGAUAAUGGAGAAAUAUCAUUGCAUGCUCUAAGAGGCUUAGCCAACAUCGAGAUUAUUAAGGUGGAGGGAAAGGUAUGCAGCUAUAAGCUAAUGACACUGAUUGAUAGUGGAAGCACACAUAGUUUCUUGGAUGAAAAUACAGCUAAGAAAAACUAGGUUGUAGGUUUACCAGUACUCAACCUCUAUCAAUGACAGUGACCAAUGGCAUUAAGGUGAUUAGCAAAUUCUCUUGUAUCGACUUUUAGCGGGAAAUGCAGGGGGAGAUAUUUACAAUUGAUUUGAUGUAAAAACCUCUAUCUUUGCAAGCUUACAUUUUGUUAUUGUUUGAUUAAGGGUUUAGUUAGUUUAAAAUUUGACUUCCUUGUUAAGUCAUAAUGAAUAUAAAAAUCAAAUUUUUGUGUAUUGAUGAACAAUGAGAACAGAACUUCGUCCUUCUCGAGGAAAAAAAAAACAGGCCUUAGUCCCAAAAGGUUGGGUCAAAUUAUUAUAUAUAUAUAUAAUUUAUCAACUUUCCAACUAUCUCUAUAUUUAUGACUAUAUUUUCUAAAUAUUUAGGUAUUAUAUGUUUUGUAAUGCAUGUUAUUCUAGUGGGAAUUUUUGUGCACUAAUUAAUGCAUUAGAAUUUUUGGAACGAACUUGUUCUCUAAAUUUGCAAAUGCUUGUCAUGAACAGCUUAAACAGUCGGUUGAACGUCUUGAACAAGCUUUACGACUUCUGAGGGGCAUGAACCAACAUUGCGAUGAAUCAAUGAAUUCGUCUGAUAAGUUUUCAUUCUCCCUUGACCGUGAAGAUCUAACCCUACAAAUUUUCAUUCCGUCACUAUUUGAUUAAUUAUGUAAUUUGUUUAAAAUUUAGCUUUCUUGUUAAGUCAUAAUAAAUGUAAAACCAAAUUUUUGUGUAUUGAUGAACAAUGACAACAGUAGGACUUCGCUCUUCUUGGGGAAACAGACGAGCCUUAGUGUCACUAGGUGUGGCGGAAUUAUUAUAUAUAUAAAAAAAUUAUUGACUUUUUAACUGUCUUUAUAUUUAUGACUAUAUUUUAUGAAUAUAUAGGCUAUUACAUGUCUUGUAAUGCAUGUUAGCCUAGUUGAAAAUUUUCAUGCACUAAUUAAUGCAUUAGAAUUUUUGGAACUUACUUGUUCUCCGAAUUUGGGUGUGCCUAUCCACCAACUCGAGAUAACACUUCUAGUCCUAAAACAAGUGGCAGCAGAUUAACCUCCACCACAGAUUCAUUUCCAAACGAAGCUUGUCAAGAGGAAUGCAUCAUUGACACGAGAACUAUUGAAUGUUGUGAUAGUGAUGGCAAUGUCGACACUGUUGGUGAUGAGACUCUACAACCUUUUGCAAGUCCUAAUGAUGAACCAUCACAUUCAUGGUUCAAGAUUAUCAAUUGUGUUUUAGUAGUAUUAUCAAUUGACUUUUGCACCAUUUGCGAGAGCUUUGACCAGUUGAGGAUUCAUGGCCAUAAUCAUUGGCAGGGAUUGUAAUUCCAGCCUUUGCUUCAAUUGGUUUCAAUAGUGGCUCAAUAUCAGCUUUCACAAAGGUUGCUAAUGCAUUGACCUUUUCAGCUAGUUUAAUUGCAUUUUCGCACUUCCAUGAUAGGAGAGAAGCAGCCCCUCGAUACCUAGUUAAGCUUAGGGACACUGCUUAUGCAAGUUUGAUAUUUGUGACCAUUGUGAACGAUCUUCCAACACUUGCUAUGUGGGCUGUCACGGUUGCUUUUUUCAUCGUAGUUUCCCUGGUAAUCAAUACUUGAGAGUAAUCACAUUAUUCAACAUAAAACGUGUUUAAUAAACAAUGUUAUCAGAGAAGAAUGCAUAGAUGCAUUUACCUCAUAUAUAUCGAAGCAAAAGGCGUGAAAAAUGUACCAAAUUUGGAGGAACACAUACGAGUCAAAUGCAUUUGUGCGUUCUUCUUUGGUAACAUUGUUUAUUAAGCAGGUUUCAUGUUGAAUAAGGUGAUUACUUUCAAGCAUUGAUCACCAGGGCGACCGCAAUGAGAAAUACCACUGUGACGACCCACAUAGCGGACGCUGAAAGAUCGUUCACAAUGGCUACAUAUAUCACACUUGCAUAAGUAGUGGCCUCAAGCUUAACUAGUUAUCGGGGGACUGCUUCUGCCCUGUCAUGGCGGAGCAAAAAUGCAGUCAAGCUAGCUAAAAAGGCCACUGCAGUAGCAACCUUUGUGAAAAUCGAUGAUGAGCCACUAUUGAAACUAGUUGAAGCAGAGGCUAGAAUGAUCAUCCCUACCAACAAUUUUGUCCAUAAAUCCUUAGCUGGUCAAGCUCUCGCGAAUGAUGCAGAAGCUAAUUGAUAACACUCCUAGGAGCAUAAUUGAUAAUCUUAAGCUAACAUGAUGACUCAUCAUUGAGACUUGCAGGUGGUUGUAGAGUCUCAUCACCAGCAUUGCCAUCACUACCGCAACCUUCAAUAGCUCUGAUGUCAAUGAUGCAUUCCUCUAGACAAAUUUCGUUUGGAAAUGAAUCUAUGGUAGGGGUUAAUCUGCUACCCAGGACCAGAAGUGUCAUCUAGAGUUGGCAGAUAGGCACACUCAACUUUGGAGAAUAGGUAAGUUGCAAAAAUGUAAUGCAUUAAUUAGUGCAUGAAAAAUUUCUACUAGUUUAAAAUGCAUUACAAGACAUAUAAUAGUCUAUAUAUUCUAAAAAUAUAGAGACAGUUGAAAAUUUCUAAGGCUAGUUUUUUUUUUAUUGAAAAGGACAAAGUCCUGCUGUUGUCAUUAUUCAUCAAUAUACAGAAAUUUAGUUUUACAUUUAUUAUGACUUAACAAGGAAGCUAAAUUUUAAACUAACUAAACAAUUGAUCAAACAAUGAUAAAAUGAAAAUUUGCAGGGAUAGGUCUUCACAGUCAAGGGAGAAUGAAAACUUACCAGUCAUAUUCCUUGAUUCAUCGUAGUGUUGGUUCAUGUCCCUCAGAAUUUGUAAAGCCUGUUCAAAUCGUUCAACUGAUUGUUUAACUUGUUCACGACAGGCACCUACAAAUUUGGAGAACAUUUAAGUUCCAAAAAUUCUAGUGCAUAAAAAUUUUCACUAGGCUAACAUCCAUUACAAGAGAUAUAAUAGCCUAUAUAUUUAGAAAACAUAGUCAUAAAUAUAAAGAUAGUUGAAAGUUAAUAAUUUAUAUAUAUAUUAAUUCCAACCCACCUGGUGACACUAAGGACUAUUUUUUUUUCCACAAGAAGGAUCAAGUCGUGUUAUUGUCAAUGUUCGUCAAUACAAAGAAAUUGGGUUUUACAUUUAUUAUGACUUAGCAAGAAAGUCAAAUUUUAAACUAAAUAUUAAUCAAAUAGUGACAGAAUGAAAACUUGCAAGGAUAGGUUUUCACAAUUAAGGAAGAAUGAAAACUUAUCAGGCACAUUCCUUAAUUCAUCGUAGUGUUGGUUCAUGCCCCUCAGAAGUCGUAAAACUUGUUCAAGCCAUUUAAUCGACUGUUUAAUUUGUUCAUGACAAGCAUUUGCAAAUUUAGAGAACAAAUAAAUUCCAAUAAUUCUAAUGCAUUAAUUAGUGCAUAAAAAUUUUCACUAGGCUAACAUGCAUUAUAGUGGGAUAAAGGUUAGAUAUGUUGUUUUAGGCUAACAUGCAUUAUAAAACAUAUGAUAGCCUAUAUAUUCAAAAAAGUUGUGUAAUUUCAGUUUUGCUUGCUUUGUUCCUCGCAUGAUUUUGAUCUUUCUUCUUGUUUUGCAUGCCUUCAAGGUCUCACUCUACCUUUUACCUAGUGUAAGGUUUUGACAACAAAUGGUUGACAAACAUGUAGUUUUGGUGUUAAAAGAUAAAAAAAAAAAAAAAAAACAAACAAAACAA